Molecule: long non-coding RNA, 6372 nt
Organism: Cervus elaphus (red deer)
Lineage: Eukaryota; Metazoa; Chordata; Mammalia; Artiodactyla; Cervidae
Exons: 3
Source: RefSeq, a predicted model, not a curated record
CUACUUUGCCUUUUCCUCCUUAUGCCGCCUUAGUGAGGGGCGGGAGCUCUGGCGGCAACUCCGGGGUGGAGAAGCGAGCUCCGGAGUCGGAAGAGCGGUGUUUGCUUCCGGGCCUAGCCACCAGCUGGCCGAGUGACCUUAGGCAAGUCACUCAGUAAUUUGUCUGCGCCUCAGUUUCCUCCUCUAUCAACGUUUGUGGGAUUGAAAGCGCUUUGUAAACCAUAAAGCGUCAGUGGAUGAAAGGAAUGAUCAUUGUUCGUUAUGGUUGGCUUUUUUUUUUUUUUUUUUUUUGGAGUUGUAAGAAAACUUAGAAAUUCCCAAUCCUUGGAUAUUGAACCUGGAAACCUUGGAUUGGAGAUGGAGUUCCCCAAACUCCCUGAAAUUGUGUGCAGAAGUUAGUGGGAAUAUGCAAUUUAGGGAAAUGAGGUUCCAUCGCCAGCAAGUUUUCAGAGGGGGCUGUGACCCGGAAGAGUUAAGAACCACAGUUCCUUUGCCACAAGGAGGAAACUGAGGCCUAGAUGUCAUUUGGGACCCGUCACAACCAAGUUGAAGCCCCUGUUGAAUCCCUGGGAUAUGUGAGCUGUCUAUGCAUAGUGAAUAUUCGGGGUAACAACACUCCACUGCUUGGCUUCUGAGUCCUUUCACUAUGGGUUGCCUGAAGGGCGGCUGAUGCUUAUGGUACAGUGGCACCCAAUAUAAAGCAGCUGAAACUAGGAGUGGAUGUGUUCUCUAGUGUCAAGAAGCCUAUUCAAUCUUUGGCCCAACAACUUUUUAUUUUCUGGUGCCUGACUACCUUUCUGACUCUUUCAUUGACCAUUUUCCAUGACCAUGGUUGCCAUCCGUUACUUGCUCUUGUUUUAUUUUCUUAGCUCCGUGUGGUUGGUAGUGAGCAGGCUUAUUUUUAAAUGGUGCUGCCAAGUCCAGCUAAUUAAUGGUGCAGGUGGGUUUUUAGCAAGCUGUCUCACUGGAAUAGACUGAACUAGACAUGGAAUUCCUGAAGAUGUUUGUCUUUAUUAAUUGAAAGUUGACAUUCUCUGAAAAGUUUUGUUGGAACUUCUUCUGAACCUCAAAGUCAGUAGUUGGAACUGUUUCAAACCUUAACUUUCCUCCCCGCCUGCUUUGUAUUCUCUUUGCUUGCAAGUGUGUUAUUAAGAUGGCCAAAAUGCCAGUUUUUGCUUCUUUGUUAAUUGUCAGCUGCUUUUUAUCAGAUUCCAGGCCAUUGUCCAGCAAACACUAUAGAAAUGUUUGAACACUUGGAUUUCAAACAUUUUCGUUUUGUGGAGUGGUGCUUACCGUGGUACAGCUCUAAGUAAGCAAAUGCAAACACACCUAAGUGUUUUGUCUGUUAGGUGUUAGCCGGUUCUGCUAUUUCAUACAAAUGUCUGGAAAAAAUCUAUUGACUGUUCCCUUUACCUGGAGGGCAGAGACAAAUGAUCUCAAUUCCAGAGAAAUGACUGUUUUGAAGACAAAUGUGUUGGUCUUUUAGCUCUUUUGUAAUUAAAUCUGGAUGUACCUCAAAAGAAUCUUGAGACUGUGGUGAUACGAUGCUUUCCUCAGGAGAAAGGAGGAAAAAACCAACUGGAACUCAAAGCUUGAAAUUCUGUGACAAAACAUGACCUGUCCAGAAUAGGAGGUUGAAAGGGUUUCACUACAGCGUUCUGCACUCGCUGGAACCCAUGUCUUUCAGUGUAGUCACCGCAUGGGCUCUAGAUUUCCAGAAUUUCAAGAACUGCAUCUGGGACCUGGAAGAAAAUACCAGGGUGUGACAGGAACUCGGGAGCUGGACUUUUUUAUUUCUGAAUUUGAGGACUGUUGUCCUUGUUUUGAAAAAGAGACAAUGACUGAGCAAGCACUGCCACCAGCGCUGUUACUGGGAAUUCGGAGACCUGAGUUUUCACCAAACCCUCAGUGCAAACUCUGGCGAUGCUCCAUCCAAAGUGAACUACGUCCUGUGCCUCCUGGUUGCCGAGUGUUCACCUGGAUCUUCUGAUCACCUUUGUGCUAUUCCAUCAGCCUACAGAUCUGGUACCUGGAUUUUUGCCCAUGGUGAUGGAUUCUGCCACCUCAUUACUGAAGACGACAUCAUUCCAGUGGACCACUGUGAUCUAGGAGGCGUAUCCAGCGAAUCAUCAUGAUGUGGCCUUCACCUCCACUCCUGUCCUGUUCCGCCCAGAUUCAACACAGCCUUUUGUAGUGAAGUUCAACUUCUCAAGCCAAAUAGCUGAAGCUGUUUUAUCACAACAAAGGUUCAGCUUGUUCCAUAAGUGUGCAUUUCGUUUCUCCAGUUAAAGCUUUCAGAGACGCAUAAUAAAUUUGGACCAGGGGAUUUUUAGUUAUCAGCACUGUCUGAAGAAUGGCAGCAUCUUUUUGAAAACCAUAUUGGACCAUGCCCCACUCUCAAAUGAUUGAAAUUCAAGAAUUGUUUAAUCUGGACCCCAUUUUUUCUCCAUUUCAAACCUGUAGUAGCCUACUGAAUGAGCAAGCAGAUAUUCUGACCUGUUGGGAUUAAAACAAAGGCACAGUGAACUCACAGCAUCUUCUUUGGGAUUACUCAGGAACCAGAACUUUUCCCACAAAUGUAAGAAAUUCUACCAAGGAAUCCCUUUACCUAACAGCAUCUCACAAAGCUCCAAUCAGAUUCCAGAAAAGGCCUCUUGAUACAUCCAGCAUUUUGUGAACAACUUACUCUUAGAUCAUUGGUUUUCCAAAGGCUUUGUGGCCAUGAAGCCCUUUGAAGGAAAACUUUAUGGAAGCCCAGAGUAAAAGUGAAGCUGCUCUGGAGGAAGCAGAAGUGGGGGGCCUGAAACCUGCCACAAGCGUCUUUCUUUACCACCAUGGUGACCCCUAAGGAGACUUCUUUACAACAACUAGAAUUCUUCAGAACACAGUUUGGAAACCACUGCCCUAGACAACAGUAUGUUCGACCUGAAUGGCAUUCUGUUCUGUACCUCCAUCCAGCACGUCGGUGUCCAGUUGAUAAUGAGCAUUCUUAGGAAUACUCAGAGAAGUGCAAGAAGAUAAACUAUCUUUGCCCCCAAGAUUAGUCAUAUGGGCUGAAAGUAAUAUCAAACGGACCUAGAGUAAUAGCCCUCUAACCACAAAUGAACUUCCAGUGAUUCCUGAAUGAUACAGUGAGAAAGCAAUUCGUACAUUACACUGACAAACCCCCUUAUUCAACUUCUUCCACAAACACCAGAUGCUCUAGUGGUACUUAAAAAUGCAUGACCUUGAAGUCUUGAUCCUCCUUGAAUACAUAAAACACCAAGUAUUGAAGCUGAUGUUAAAGUUGAUGCCUCAUUGAGGCAGUAUUAGACCAGCUAUACAUUGGACCUCCUCCCAUCCUCAGCCAUGGUACUCUACUUCGUGUGCAAGAGAUAACCAUAAACUAUGAAAGCAGAAUUCAGAGACUGGCAACAUAACCUAAAAGGGCACCUGAUGAUUAUUAUCUUCUCCAACUACAUCACUAUCACUCAGCCAUUGGCAGUUACACUACUACUUGGUUUUUAUUCAGUUUCACUGCUGUUCCCAGGAUACAGAAGCAAGUAACCUUUGAAAAACUGCUAAAACAAUUCCUCCAUCACUGGCAUAUCUGCCUGUUCUGCUCAAAAAUUAGGAGUACUCAGCUCUACAUGUAAUACCUGAUCCACAAGAGACGGUCUCUGAACAUCCUUUUCUUGAGUGUGUGAUUUAAAAUGUGGCCAUUGUAAAAAUUUUCUUCCAGCCAAUGAGAGAGUUUCAGAUGAAUCCUUUGAUAUCUGAUACCAUCAGUUGUUGAUGUUAAUGGUAUUUAGAGGUAGGCCUUUGGAUCAGGCCUUGAUAGCUUACUUGGUGGGCAUCUCAAAUUGCAUAUCUACCUUUUUGCUGGAAAUGUAGACUAACGUGAAAGGAAAUCUACAAAGCCUGCAGCUAAAGAGUUUUAUCAAUGGACUCGAGCUUCUUGAGUCUUCCUAAUGUCACAAGACCACAGACCCUUGUCCUUGUGGAUGUUUCCAUGGAAUUUCAUCUGUUGUUUUAACUGAAUCACAGUGGCUGACUUCAUCCCUUGUCGUGCAAUACUCUCAGGCAUUAAGACGUCUGUUCAGGAGGGAUUUGAUACAUGAACUUCCAGACCAGAUCAUGUAGAACAAGUAGACUUUAAUCCAUGCCCUGAGAAAAAUCUUACUUCUUCAGAGUCGACAUAAGGGCCAGCUGUCCUCAACUACUUUAAUGAAUGCACUGGUUAAAAGUUGGGAAUGUUUCUUUAUAUCUUUGUCUCUUAUCCUCUAGACUAAUUGUGAUUAUGUGACUCAGUGUACAAAUCAUCAAACAAAGCCUAAGUCUGGUUAUUCUGUACUGCUCAUCUUCAACAAAAUCUGAUAACUAGCCUGCUAGUGUAUAUACAACUAUUAUUUGUAAAGAAGAAGUUGUCUACAAACUCGGUUUUUUCACUACCUUCAUAAUGUCAACUCGAUUUUCUCUUUCUCCUGGACUUGACCAGAAAAUACAUUUAUCUAUCACUGCCAGUCAUUCCCUUUAACCCUGUCAAAAUGAGACACUUAAAAGGUAAAGAUGAUCAUCUGUUCAAGAGUCUAAUGUACACUGUGUAUAAGAAUUGAUGGUGGAAAAAGCCUAAAACUCAAACCUAGUAACUUACUAUAUCCAUGCCUCAGAUCUCAUCUUUCAGCAGUACCAUUCAACCAGUCUGAGGCCUUGACUUGUUGAUAAGAUGAUUCUCAGAGAUGAGCUGAAUUACAGAAGAUGGAGACUUGAUUACCAAAGAAAGUAGGGCCAACCUUGAUGAACCUGGCUCUCCCAACCCUGUCACUCCCAGAUGUAGCAUAGACUCCUAAACAGAACCUCAAGUCUGGAUUUAAGAGAUACCUUCUCCUGAGCUGAACGUUCUUGGACAGAUCAGCAGGAAAGUGAAAGUUGCUAUACCUGACUGGCCCUUUAAGAUCAGAAAAUUGUAUCUAGAGGAAACCGUAUGGAUUAACCCUGGAAUACUCAGGCUUAAAACUAAUUUACAGAACUUCAACAUUAAACUGCCUAUUUUUCCAGAUCUUAGCCUGGCUACUGAUAUGACUGGCCCUGCUGAAGUUACCUUGCUUACUUGUCUACUUACCUGACUCAGCCAUUGCCUGCCUUUCUGACAUGUUGCUGCAAUCAGACACUGUCCUUCAGAAGACUACAGCUGAUCUCAGCUAUCUUAUAUCUGGUUCCACCAAGAAGUUUUGAACAGAAGCAACCUGUGCUUCUGUACCCUCCGGGACUUAAUGUUCACAACAGGAAGGAGCAUGCUACAUACUCCUUGACCAGCAGCUUUUUUUGUUUUGUUUUUAACUGCAGAGUAAGCCUCUAUGCCUAUAUAUAUUAGAUCAUCAUUUUCAACACUUGGGACCCUUUCUGCCAGAUCUGAAGGAGCAGAGCAGAUUGAAAGCACUGUCCAUUUCUCCAUUCUAUGGUCAUACAGAGAUGAAUCUGAUUUACCAGUAUUCAUAGAAGUGUACCAGUUUAACUUGGCAAAAGACUUAAAGGAGCAUAAAACUUUUCCACUGAACUUAAAAUUUACCACUGACUUGAGGAGUCUUACAGAAGUAUUUUCCAGUGGGAGGCUGGUUGUCCUGUUUCAUGUCAGUGAGACAGUUGGGCUCUCAGACUUACGACAACUGAGUUUACUUACAUUGAAACUCUUGUAUCAUCCAGAUAUGCUAUUGGACAUGAUUAUUCCAUUCAAAUGGAUUACAAGCCUCCUGAGUAGAAGACAAACUUAACUACUCAUGAUUUUUUCAAGAAUACUUUUAUCAUCAAGGAAGGAACAGUGCCAGCGGAAACCAUUCAACUUUAUGAGCAGAGAUUAAACUUUUUCAGUAUCUGGUCUUACCAUUGACUGACAUCAGUUGUUUUUGAUUGACCAGCCUCCAUUCCAUUCCUUUGUAACGACUCCCUGAUGCUUCUUCGAACCUCCUUUCCCUCUCUUCAGUCCACGUGGUUCAAUCUGACCUAAUCUUAGGUUUCAUGGGUGGACAUGUAAUUCAGACCUGAUCAAUCAGCACAGUCCAUCUCCUUGACCAUAGUGAUUGGUUCAGGAUUGAUCAUGUGAUUCAAGUUGGUCCCACGAUUCUCAACCCUGAGAGUUCUCGUGAACUAUGGGAGAGAAGCUCUUUACUGAGAUUGCUUAGCUCUGCAGGAUGAAAAGCUCAAACCAGCAGGGCCCAAAGUAUCAAAUGAGCCAGUCGGAGAAUGAAGCCAGUACAGAGGAAAACGGAGCCAGAUGAUGGAGAGACUUGAGUCCUGAUGACAAUGUGCCCCUGGAUCAAACUGUGCCUGAAGCUAGUAUAUCCCCUGGACUUUUCAGUUAUGUGAAUCAAUAAAUACCCUUCUUUGCUUAAGUUA